Alexandromys fortis (reed vole) is the source of this 108-nucleotide small nuclear RNA. NCBI's taxonomy places the organism in Eukaryota, Metazoa, Chordata, Mammalia, Rodentia, Cricetidae. The record is from RefSeq and is a predicted model, not a curated record.
GUGCUCGCUUCGGCAGCACAUAUACUAAAAUUGGAACGAUACAGAGAAGAUUAGCAUGGCCCCUGUGCAAGGAUCACACACACACACACACACAUAAAAAAAAAAAAA